CAGGCUCCCAGGCAGGGAAAGCCAUCCCCAGAGGCAGUAGGGUACUUGGGUUGAUUUUCAGGACGAAUGAAGAAACUCCUGCCAGAAAUCACCCUGUGUUGUAGAAAUAAAGCCAUCCAACCAAGACAUCUCCUGGAUGCUUAUUCCUAUAGAAAAUGUGUUCGCAUCCAGAGGUCAAAGGGAUUUAGGACUCUGCUGGCCUGGUGAUGGGAGGGAGGCGCGGGUUCAUCUGCUGCACCUGAGCGCAGGCACCACAAAUACCUGUGGCUGCCAGGGGCUGGAGCUGUGCUAGGCGCCGUGAUUUAUACAGCUGGCUGUGGAUGUCACCCAUUUGUCCUUCCCAUGUGACCCCCAAAAGCACUGUUAUCUCCCUGUAAUUAGGUCCGUGGGGCAGAAAUGGAUGUGCUGUCCCGUGGGGUCACAACGCGCGGCUCUCACCACACCUGCAGCUGGCCCUGAUGCAGCCGGGAGCUGCCGGUGCCAGCACUGCCGGCACUUUCCGAGGGCCGCAUCCAGCGCCGGGCUUGUGCAGGUGCUUCAUUCAAAGCACAUGGAGCAUCCCAUCGGCUCUAUACAGAGCUGAUAAACACUUGUGCAAUAAAGUGCGUCGCAGUGCUGGCUCUAACAACAAGAAGCUCACUCCUGGCUCCGGAGAGACAUGAAAAUUGUAAUCAGCUGAACUGGCUGUAGCACAGCAGUGCCAUUUGCAUGCGUAUGAUGUUGUUUAACUUCAGCUGUAGAGCGCUCAUUUUUGGAAACAGAGUAAGUGUGCUAGCAGCAGCUAUUUGACCUUCUGAAAUCCAGUGAA
Molecule: long non-coding RNA, 808 nt
Organism: Oxyura jamaicensis (ruddy duck)
Lineage: Eukaryota; Metazoa; Chordata; Aves; Anseriformes; Anatidae
Exons: 2
Source: RefSeq, a predicted model, not a curated record